This 676-nucleotide long non-coding RNA is filed under the name Homo sapiens (human). RNAcentral describes it as "HSALNT0227148". Lineage: Eukaryota; Metazoa; Chordata; Mammalia; Primates; Hominidae. The record is from RNAcentral.
CGAUCCCUGUGAUCCCUGUUCCCCUCUAGCUUCUGCCAUGGAGGAGGAGAGAGGCUGGGCUUUCAGUGCCUCUGGGGAAUGACCUCCCGACGUCACUGCCCACCUGCCCUUUGCUAAUCUGUGUACAAUAGUUAGAGACAAUAUAAAGCCCCUGGCAGGGUCCAUGGCUGCGUCUUGCCCAUAGUAGGAUGUGAUCAUCUUGUUUUUGGAAAAGGGUCGUCUCCUCACUUCCACCCCCUUAUGUUCCACACACAGCCUAACUCUGUCUCCUGGUUCUCAUUUGAUAUUGUGGUGCAGCGACCUCUCUUCCUCUCUCUGCGUGCCUCUUCCAGUUCCCAGUGAGCCAAAGCAAAGCAUUGCUGAAGCCCCAGGUCUCCGGUUCCCAAGUUGUGGCCCUCACUUAGACAUACCCAGCCCAUGGAGUGCUGGUGCACCUUGGUACAGGGUGGUCUGUUGCGCUCCCUCCACAGGAGGCUCUAGGCAUAGGCAGCUGGGUAUGCAGUCAGUACGGCCCCUCAAAGGGUCACGUUUGGAAUUCUCAGGCUCUUAAGUCUUUGGGUGUCCUGUUAAGAUGCAGAGUCCAUAACCGCUCCAUAGAGGAGCAGGGGGAGGCGUUUGUGUUGUGAUGGGAUUUUGACACUAGCUGAGGUGGAGGCUUGCUGAUAGUAAGCACAGG